RNAcentral lists this long non-coding RNA (351 nucleotides) under Capra hircus (goat). RNAcentral describes it as "lncRNA (ENSCHIG00000007776.1)". Lineage: Eukaryota; Metazoa; Chordata; Mammalia; Artiodactyla; Bovidae. The record is from RNAcentral.
ACUUCAAAUCCUUCUUACCUUGAAAUUUUAAGUUUGGGUAUCAAGAACUGAUCCAACAUAUUUCUAAAAUGAUGAUUUUUUUUCUUUAAAGUUUUGAAAAACUACAGUCUUUGUUUUAAAAAGGCCAAAAGACAUUUUCUGAAGACAUAAUGGAGACUCUGGUGGUGGUGUUAGCAAAUCUUUUUGGAUGACGAUAUUUUCUUCAGUGUGUGAAAAACUUUGAAAAGAGAUUUUUUUCAUUCAGUGUAGUGACACAGUCGAAAUACAAACACAGUGAUGUAAACUGCAUUGGCUUCCUCAGGCUGCUGUCAGAGGCGAGGUGGGUUAGACACGGAGGGCUGCCUGCUGUCC